Molecule: non-coding RNA, 378 nt
Organism: Rattus norvegicus (Norway rat)
Lineage: Eukaryota; Metazoa; Chordata; Mammalia; Rodentia; Muridae
Source: RefSeq, a predicted model, not a curated record
CACCCCGUUGUGCUCAUGGGACAGUCUGGAAUGCAGGGGACUGUUUCCUGGCACCUGGCACUUCCCAGGAAGGUCUUUGAGUCAAUGCUUAGCUCUGACUUCUGGAACCAAGUUGAUGGUACUUGGCAUGAAUUUUCCAGUCCUUAAUCUGGGACUAAGUUUGAUGGACCUUUUCCCAUUCCUCCUUGUACUGGCUGACUUUGUGUGUCAACCUGACACAACCUGGAGUUAUCACAGAGAAAGGAGCCUCAGUUGAGGAAAUGCCUCCAUGAGACCCAACUCUCCUGCGUCCUGCCCUGUGUGAGUUCCAGUUCUGACUUCCUUUGGUGAUGAACAGCAAUGUGGAAGUGUAAGCUGAAUAAACCCUUUCCUCCCCGA